CCCUUAGAUGUUCUGGGCCGCACGCGUGCUACACUGAGUGGAUCAGCGGGUCAGGUUGCGCGAAAGUGUUUCCUAAUCUUUAAAUCCGCUCGUGAUGGGGAUUGACGGUUGCAAUUUUCCGUCAUGAACGAGGAAUACCUUGUAAGCGCGGGUCAUCAUCCCGCGCUGAAUACGUCCCUGCCCUUUGUACACACCGCCCGUCGCUCCUACCGAUUGAAUGUUUCGGUGAAGAUUCCGGAUAGGACUGAUUUGAUUUAUUUCAUUUCUGACCUAAAAGCUAUCUAAACCUCAACAUUUAGAGGAAGGUGAAGUCGUAACA
This 319-nucleotide ribosomal RNA is filed under the name uncultured eukaryote. RNAcentral describes it as "partial 18S ribosomal RNA". It matches the Rfam family "Eukaryotic small subunit ribosomal RNA", at positions 1470 to 1796 of the family's 1831-position model. The record is from RNAcentral.